GAUGAACGCUGGCGGCGUGCCUAAUACAUGCGAGUCGAGCGAACGGACGAGAAGCUUGCUUCUCUGAUGUUAGCGGCGGACGGGUGAGUAACACGUGGAUAACCUACCUAUAAGACUGGGAUAACUUCGGGAAACCGGAGCUAAUACCGGAUAAUAUUUUGAACCGCAUGGUUCAAAAGUGAAAGACGGUCUUGCUGUCACUUAUAGAUGGAUCCGCGCUGCAUUAGCUAGUUGGUAAGGUAACGGCCUACCAAGGCAACGAUGCAUAGCCGACCUGAGAGGGUGAUCGGCCACACUGGAACUGAGACACGGUCCAGACUCCUACGGGAGGCAGCAGUAGGGAAUCUUCCGCAAUGGGCGAAAGCCUGACGGAGCAACGCCGCGUGAGUGAUGAAGGUCUUCGGAUCGUAAAACUCUGUUAUUAGGGAAGAACAUAUGUGUAAGUAACUGUGCACAUCUUGACGGUACCUAAUCAGAAAGCCACGGCUAACUACGUG
Molecule: ribosomal RNA, 497 nt
Filed under: uncultured bacterium
Lineage: Bacteria
Description: partial 16S ribosomal RNA
Rfam family: Bacterial small subunit ribosomal RNA
Source: RNAcentral